AUUGAACGCUGGCGGCAGGCCUAACACAUGCAAGUCGAGCGGAUGAAGGGAGCUUGCUCCUGGAUUCAGCGGCGGACGGGUGAGUAAUGCCUAGGAAUCUGCCUGGUAGUGGGGGAUAACGUCCGGAAACGGGCGCUAAUACCGCAUACGUCCUGAGGGAGAAAGUGGGGGAUCUUCGGACCUCACGCUAUCAGAUGAGCCUAGGUCGGAUUAGCUAGUUGGUGGGGUAAAGGCCUACCAAGGCGACGAUCCGUAACUGGUCUGAGAGGAUGAUCAGUCACACUGGAACUGAGACACGGUCCAGACUCCUAAGGGAGGCAGCAGUGGGAAAUAUUGGACAAUGGGCGAAAGCCUGAUCCAGCCAUGCCGCGUGUGUGAAGAAGGUCUUCGGAUUGUAAAGCACUUUAAGUUGGGAGGAAGGGCAGUAAGUUAAUACCUUGCUGUUUUGACGUUACCAACAGAAUAAGCACCGGCUAACUUCGUG
RNAcentral lists this ribosomal RNA (484 nucleotides) under uncultured bacterium. RNAcentral describes it as "partial 16S ribosomal RNA". It matches the Rfam family "Bacterial small subunit ribosomal RNA", at positions 30 to 507 of the family's 1533-position model. The record is from RNAcentral.